AUUGAACGCUGGCGGCAGGCCUAACACAUGCAAGUCGAACGGUAACAGGAAGCAGCUUGCUGCUUUGCUGACGAGUGGCGGACGGGGGAGUAAUGUCUGGGAAACUGCCGGAUGGAGGGGGAGAACUACUGGAAACGGUAGCGAAUACCGCAUAACGUCGCAAGACCAAAGAGGGGGACCUUAGGGCCUCUUGCCAUCGGAUGUGCCCAGAUGGGAUUAGCUAGUAGGGGGGGUAACGGCUCACCUAGGCGACGAUCCCUAGCUGGUCUGAGAGGAUGACCAGCCACACUGGAACUGAGACACGGUCCAGACUCCUACGGGAGGCAGCAGUGGGGAAUAUUGCACAAUGGGAGCAAGCCUGAUGCAGCCAUGCCGAGUGUAUGAAGAAGGCCUUCGGGUUGUAAAGUACUUUCAGCGGGGAGGAAGGGAGUAAAGUUAAUACCUUUGCUCAUUGACGUUACCCGAAGAAGAAGCACCGGCUAACUCCGUG
Molecule: ribosomal RNA, 490 nt
Filed under: uncultured bacterium
Lineage: Bacteria
Description: partial 16S ribosomal RNA
Rfam family: Bacterial small subunit ribosomal RNA
Source: RNAcentral